ACGGAUAUGACGGAAUUGGUAGACGUACUAGAUUUAGAUUCUAGAGAUUUUAUUGAGUCGUGAGGGUUCGAAUCCCUCUAUCCGUA
RNAcentral lists this transfer RNA (86 nucleotides) under Pterocladiella capillacea. RNAcentral's name for it is "tRNA-Leu". It matches the Rfam family "tRNA". Rfam says of the family: Transfer RNA (tRNA) molecules are approximately 80 nucleotides in length. Their secondary structure includes four short double-helical elements and three loops (D, anti-codon, and T loops). The record is from RNAcentral. RNAcentral also lists the same sequence under 2 other names. Lineage: Eukaryota; Rhodophyta; Florideophyceae; Gelidiales; Pterocladiaceae.